Molecule: long non-coding RNA, 2317 nt
Filed under: Podarcis lilfordi (Lilford's wall lizard)
Lineage: Eukaryota; Metazoa; Chordata; Lepidosauria; Squamata; Lacertidae
Source: RNAcentral
UUCUGAGUCACCUUCAAAGGUAGCCCCACAUAGAGUCUAUUGCAGUAGUCCAAGCGAGAGAUAACUAGAGCAUGCACCACUCUGGCGAGACAGUUAGCGGGCAAGUAGGGUCUCAGCCUGCAUACCAGAUGGAGCUGGUAAACAGCUGCCCUGGACACAGAAUUAACCUGCGCCUCCAUGGACAGCUGUGAGUCCAAAAUGACUCCCAGGCUACACACCUGGUCCUUCAGGGGCACAAUUACCCCAUUCAGGACCAGGGAGUCCUCCACACCAGCCCGCCUCCUGUCUCCCCAAAACAGUACUUCUGUCUUGUCAGGAUUCAACCUCAAUCUGUUAGCCACCAUCCAUCCUCCAACCACCUCCAGACACUCACACAGGACCUUCACCGCCUUCAUGGAUUCAGGACCCAAACAGGGCACAUCAGUGGUGAUGUCUCAUCUGACUUCCCACCUAUACCCUAUGGGCUGCCCUUGCUGAGCAGCAGCAGCAAGCAGCUUGGAAAUUGCAUUUUUUGAGCUGCUCCAUUAAAGUAUUCUGGGUAUUAGCAGGUGGCUUGCAGCUUCCCAGUGCAGACUGUAGUACUGCUGCCACAGGUAAGCUUGCUGUAGGUGGGUGGAUGCUGGUGAUGGUGUUAGAUGAGACUUCUCCUCUGGAGCCAGCCCUGAAUGAAACAUCCAAGGAAUUUCAAGGGGAACAAAAAGAAUUUUGCUAAGAUUAGAGAAGGUUUGGUCAAUGUUAGUGUUGGUGGACAACUGCCUGCAGCCACAGCCAUCACAGCCAAUGGACAAGGUGAUCAGAUCAGUACUUCACCAACAUUUGGAAAGCAUCAUGUUGGCUGAAGCAGCUUCAAAAUAUUUCUUCACGACAUCUCUGAAUCCUGCACCAACAUGAGAUUGACAGCUUUUCUCCUGGCAGUGAUUCUGUACCAUUAAUAAUUAUGCCCCCAUUAAUGUAUUGGCUCCUCUAGGAAGUAAAUCCAGGGGGUCCCUGUGGAAGGCUGCCCUUCACUAGAGAUGGGGAGAAAUUCAGUGCAAAUCACUUUUAAAGGUGAACCUACCCAAUUCACUCUUCCUGAAACAAUAUGCAAACUGAAUUAUACCCAUUCUUCAAAAUUCACACUUUCCUGAAUUUUGUGAUACAGUUCUCUAGCCACGCUAUGUGUACAAAAAUGCAUAUACUGGGAUAGUGUGCAAAUAAAUGCAUAUAUUAGGUUGGGGUUUUUUUUUAAGAAGACAAAAAUGCAUAUUUGGGAAAUUGCUUUGAAAAAAUUGCAUAUAGUCACAUGUAUAAGGAUAAAUUCUUGGUAAAAUGCUGCUGAAUUUUCAGGAGGACUUUGAAAAACUGAUGUGGAAAUGUGGAGAGCUGAAGAAUGGGGAAACCGGAAGAAAACAAAAUAGUCAAAUAUGCAAAUCCCUACCUUUCCCCCAUGUCUUUCUAACAAACCACCUGAACUUAUGAAAGAACCACUACAAAUGAUCUUAAAAUAGACUUUCCUUUUCUUGACGUUCAGCUUUUAAAAUCUCCUGGAGCUGGUCCUGGACCACGGAUGUGUAUCUCCUAACUCCACCAUAAUUUGAAAUGGCACUCUUGCAUGGCUCCUGCUGGGUGAUGCCACCAGUCAUCAGAGUGAAGACUACCCGCUUUUCUGCUCACUCUCACGCCACCUGCCCCGCCGCUGCCACAUUCUCUCAUCUCUCAAGUUGCCUACCUUGGAAAUGCUAUCUGUCCCCCUUCCUUCUCUAGGCUAUUUAUCUCCACGAUCUGCUACAGUGGGUUGCAGAAUUCAAGCAGCAGGCCUCCAUCCACCCUGCUGUUUCCCAGCCCUUGAAGAAAGCAGACGACAAAAGCCUGGACAACCCCAAAAUGAAUAAAUCUCCUCCCGGACGUCGUUGCUAUAUGUUUGACAUUCAUUCUUGUUGGAAGCGGUGUGUAACCGGGUCCAAAGGAAAUCAGGCAUUUUUGUCGUUACUCCUCUGCCUUUAACAAUAGCUCGACAAACAAAAACUUAGCAGGUGAAUCUUUUUGCCAAUGUUUCUCUCCACACCAGGAAAUACUGGGUGGGCCAGGUUCCUUCAUAUCAUACUGAUGUUCCAGGCAAAGAAAUAUGCUGAUUUGGGGGGGUUGUUUUGUUUUUUUAAAGGAAAUAUUUUUAUUGACGUUUUCACAAUACAAUUAAAAGAACUAAUCAAAAGAAAGAAACUGAAGAAAGAAGAAAUGGAAAAAGAAACUACAAAAUCUUCCCUCACCACUAUAUUUUAACUUUCAUCCCCUACAGAGGAUUCUGGGGGUUUUAAAGUGGAAAAUAAAGACUAGGGAC